Molecule: long non-coding RNA, 1891 nt
Filed under: Bemisia tabaci
Lineage: Eukaryota; Metazoa; Arthropoda; Insecta; Hemiptera; Aleyrodidae
Description: lncRNA ENSASIAIIG008038
Source: RNAcentral
AUGGGCAAAGAAAAUUUGAAUUCCCAAAUAGAUUGGGAAGCAUUGUUGGCUAGUGGAGUGCCAAUCAGCUUUGACUUUAACGUUAUGGAUCAUGUACCUGAUGGUAAUUACACCUAUGUUCUUGUGGAGACCUCUGAUUCUUCUUCGGUUCAAAAUUUUCUGCAAGAUCCACCUUUAGUUUCAAACUAGUUCUUCUGCUCUGCCUCUACAAGACUCAAUUCUUCAAGAUCCAGUUGUUGAUCAUACCGAACCUACUUCUUCUGGUCUGACUCUACAAGACUCGAUUUUUCAAGACCCUGUUGUUGAGCCUACCAAACCUAGUUCUUCUAUUUUACAAACGUCUCCUUAAUUGUCCCCAAAUUCUGUUCAAAUUGACUUUCCUAAAUUAAAAAAUUAAUAAAAGACAAAUGAAAAAAAUGGCCGCAGAUGCAGGGUCCAAUAAAUGAAUGAAGCCAAAUCCGUGCUUUGAUAAUACUUCCUGUUAUAAAAAUGGACCACUAGACAAGGUAUGAAUUUAAGCAUUCUGAUACAUGUUUCUUAACCAGAAUUUCACGUAGAACACGAUUCGCGCAAUGAAAAGUACUAAAAUUAACUCCUAACGAAGAUAUUAAUGUUUUUGUUUUACAUGGGUUACGGGAAAUUUGAACUGCCCGCUCACAAAAAACUCAAAAGUCUACGUGAGUCAAAUCGCGCACUACAACGGUAGGAGUGGGCUUUUUAAUCGAGCGGUGUUUCUCUCCAUGCCGUGUUGUUCACCCUGCGUUAUAAACUGGAUGAGCGAAUGUGGUUUUUUUUCGUUCUUUUUUUCAUAAUUAUUAAGUAAAAAAUGGGGAGAAAAAACACUUCAAAAGACCUUGUCCAGGCAAAUUCUAACAAUUUGCCCGAGGUCGAUUCAAUUUGCCUGGAGAACUACUUCAAGAAUUCGGAUUAUCUGGCUCCUGAAAUGAGGAACUCUAAGACGGAAAGAUCAACAAGACCAGAGUAUGGUGGCAAUGCCAUAGGAUUUGUGCAACUCCAUAGAGAUAAGGAUCAAUGUACGGUUGAGGCGGAGGUAACUCCUGAGACAAGUACAAGAGCUAAAAGUUAUCGCGUUCAGUGCAUUGUCAAGGAAAGUCUUCCUGAAAGCAACGAGAUAGUUGAGGCCACUUGUUUCGGCUGUGCAGCCUCUGCAGGUGGUUGCGAACACGUUGUGGCAUUUAUUGCAUGGCUCCAUCGGAGAAGCGAGGAGCCCUCCGUUACAUCUAGUACAUGUUACUGGAAAAAAUCUGUUCUGUCAGUGCUUGGCAACAAAAAAUUCAUCCUGGCAAAAGAGAUUGUAACUUCAAAAAAGUCCUCAAAUAUGAAAUUUCCUGAAUUUAAAAGCACGGAAGAAGAACGAAGGAAAUUUUUGAUGGAUAUUUCUUUGGAUCUCAUUAACAAUAAAGAUAUCAUGUUCUCCAAUCAGUUACAAAGGAAAACAUCAUUAUCUGUGCAUCAUCUAAUGUUAGACUUCAAAGACGAACCAACUGAACAAACUGCAACCUCAUUUUUAAAAUUUUCCAGCGAAGAGAUGGACUCAGCAAUGUGUGCCGCUUUGGAGAGAAUGACUAUUAAACAGAGUAAAUAUCAACUUUGGUUCGAUUUACAUUUUGGCAGAGUUUCUGCCUCAAAGUUAUGGGAAGCAGCUCACUGCACCACCGGAGAUGGAACCCUACGGGACUCCAUUUUAGGAGCAAAAAAGUUCAAAGGGACCAAGGCCAUGAGUGACGGACUUGAUUUAGAGCCUCUUGUAAGAAAGAAAGUUCAGCGAGAAUUGAACAUAAAAAUCAAAGAGGCUGGUAUGUUCGUGCGCUCCAAGUAUUCAAUAUUUGGAGCAUCUCCAGAUGGAAUAACAGAGACGCACGUUUUUUAA